CCUACGGGGGGCUGCAGUGGGGAAUAUUGGGCAAUGGGCGCAAGCCUGACCCAGCAACGCCGCGUGAAGGAAGAAGGCUUUCGGGUUGUAAACUUCUUUUCUCAGGGACGAAGCAAGUGACGGUACCUGAGGAAUAAGCCACGGCUAACUACGUGCCAGCAGCCGCGGUAAUACGUAGGUGGCAAGCGUUAUCCGGAUUUACUGGGUGUAAAGGGCGUGUAGGCGGGAAAGCAAGUCAGAUGUGAAAACCAUGGGCUCAACCUGUGGCCUGCAUUUGAAACUGUUUUUCUUGAGUACUGGGGAGGCAGACGGAAUGCCUAGUGUAGCGGUGAAAUGCGUAGAUAUUAGGAGGAACACCAGUGGCGAAGGCGGUCUGCUGGACAGCAACUGACGCUGAGGCGCGAAAGCGUGGGGAGCAAACAGGAUUAGAUACCCGUGUAGUC
Molecule: ribosomal RNA, 443 nt
Filed under: uncultured bacterium
Lineage: Bacteria
Description: partial 16S ribosomal RNA
Rfam family: Bacterial small subunit ribosomal RNA
Source: RNAcentral